RNAcentral lists this ribosomal RNA (250 nucleotides) under uncultured prokaryote. RNAcentral's name for it is "partial 16S ribosomal RNA". It matches the Rfam family "Bacterial small subunit ribosomal RNA", at positions 524 to 773 of the family's 1533-position model. The record is from RNAcentral.
UACGGGGGGUGCGAGCGUUGUCCGGAAUCAUUGGGCGUAAAGAGUUCGUAGGUGGCGUGUAGAGUCUGGUGUUAAAGACUGAAGCUUAACUUCAGUAUGGCACUGGAUACUUGCAGGCUAGAAUGCGGUAGAGGUAAAGGGAAUUUCUGGUGUAGCGGUGAAAUGCUUAGAUAUCAGGAAGAACAUCGGUGGCGUAAGCGCUUUACUGGGCCGUAAUUGACGCUGAGGAACGAAAGCCGGGGUAGCAAAU